Aedes aegypti (yellow fever mosquito) is the source of this 890-nucleotide long non-coding RNA. RefSeq lists it as uncharacterized. NCBI's taxonomy places the organism in Eukaryota, Metazoa, Arthropoda, Insecta, Diptera, Culicidae. The record is from RefSeq and is a predicted model, not a curated record. The transcript has 2 exons.
AGUGUGGCAUGUGCAUCCCACAUGUUAGCAAAUCCCAUUUCCAAACUUUAAGGGACCACUCUAGUGGCACCCCACAAAGAAAAUAGCAAACGUUUUACAAUGCCAUCGAACUGAUUUAUGCGGCGAACGAAUAUGAGCCCAUAAAGCAGUUCGAUGACUUAAAGCCUGACCCGGCAAAAAAUAGGCUGGGAUCAUAUUACAUUCUGAACACGCAAACAGCGUGUGGUCGUCAAGCGCAAUUCGGUUUGGCGCAAUUAGCCUUCUCCGUAUCUCUCUCUCUCUGAGCAUUCUCUUUUUCGGUGUCGAUCACUGAUUGGUGAUCAAAUACAUAACAAUACAUAAGUGCUUUCAAGUGUCUCCGAACUAAAUAAGUGUCAGAAUAAUUUUGGAUAACUGAAUAAAUCAAUUCUGUCUUGACCCUCAAACCGAGAGGUUCGUUUGCCAUUUUAAUUAUCGAGGAUGAUGACAACCAAAAAGGAGAUUUUCUCUACAUGGCUACCAAAGUGACAGGCUACCAAAGUGAAAAAGUGUGAAAAACAGUUGUGAAGAUUUUGAAGUGAAGAUUUUGCACCAUGACGGUGACAUCGAUCUUAAUUAUAAUGCUAGCAUUAAUUUUGAUGUGCGCAACAGUGGCAUUAAUGCAGCAAGUAAUCACCGAGUGGGCUAAAGGAAUGGAAAAGGCACAAUUUGCCAUAUUAACGAACUAACUGAAGUGAAAUAAAACGGACAAGGAGCGUUAGAACAGUGUAGUUUGAGUGAAUCAGCAACAUGGGCACUACGGAGUCCAAGAACACGGAAAAUAAAGGAACAUUCACGGAAGCAAGCUUUAAAAGCUGCGAAGAGUGUGUCGGCUUUAAAUAAACUAAGUGAGGUUUAAAAAAAAAAAAAAA